GUUUGAAUAGCUCAGUUGGUAGAGCAGAGGACUGAAAAUCCUCGUGUCAGUGGUUCAAGUCCACUUUCAGACA
This 73-nucleotide transfer RNA is filed under the name Prasinococcus sp. CCMP1194. RNAcentral's name for it is "tRNA-Phe". It matches the Rfam family "tRNA". From Rfam's summary of the family: Transfer RNA (tRNA) molecules are approximately 80 nucleotides in length. Their secondary structure includes four short double-helical elements and three loops (D, anti-codon, and T loops). Further hydrogen bonds mediate the characteristic L-shaped molecular structure. tRNAs have two regions of fundamental functional importance: the anti-codon, which is responsible for specific mRNA codon recognition, and the 3' end, to which the tRNAs corresponding amino acid is attached (by aminoacyl-tRNA synthetases). tRNAs cope with the degeneracy of the genetic code in two manners: having more than one tRNA (with a specific anti-codon) for a particular amino acid; and 'wobble' base-pairing, i.e. permitting non-standard base-pairing at the 3rd anti-codon position. Lineage: Eukaryota; Viridiplantae; Prasinodermophyta; Palmophyllophyceae; Prasinococcales; Prasinococcaceae. RNAcentral also lists the same sequence under 1 other name. The record is from RNAcentral.